CUUUCGACUGCAGUCCUCAGCUUAGCAUCAUGAUGGAGAAGAUCUUGCUGGGACUCGUGUUUCUUCUAGACUGGGUUGUCCUCUCCACCUGCCUCCUUCCUCAAUACUAUUUUGUUAAUAAAUUGUUAAAUUGGACUGAAGCUCAGACCUACUGCAGGCAGAGGCACACAGACCUGGCCACCAUCCUAAACUCUGAGCAACAGAACCAACUAAUUGCAACGCUUACAUCUGCUGGACACAGCUCUGACGUCUGGAUUGGUCUGUUCAGUAAAAUCGACUGGAAAUGGUCUGAUGGUUACACUGGGAGUGGAGCUGACUACAGAAACUGGCAUUUGAGUCAACCAUCAUGGUAUUAUGUUAAUGACGUAUGUGUAGGAUCACAUUACCAUGGGGGAUGGUUUGAUGCUACCUGCACAGAUCAUCGCCACUUUUUAUGUUACAAAGGCUCACACUUGGAUCCUGAAUUUGUUUAUGUGAGUACAACAAUGCCCUGGUCCAAUGCACAGACAUACUGCAGAGAAAAUUUUGUUGACAUGGCUAGUAUAAGAAAUGACACAGAGUACCAGCAAGUCCAGAGCCUGAUACCUUAUGGUCAUUAUCCAUGGAUUGGUCUAUAUAGAGAGCCAAAUCUUCAAUGGUCUAAUGGGAGCAGUGUCCUCUUUACCAGCUGGGAUACCAGUGGUAUUUUUAUUGGCUCAAUGAGAGUCAUAUGUGGUGCUACAUCUACUGGGAGAUCAGGAAAAUGGAAAAUGUUGUCCUGUGAAACAAGAUUACCAUUUGUCUGCAACGGUCCUCCUGUUACAAAACAGGUGGUGAGGCUUGGACUUCAUUUGGAGGACUAUGUGGAUCUGAAUGACCGUGUUCUAAGAGGAAGCAUCCUGAUGGAGGCAAGUUUGAAAUCAGGAU
Cyprinodon variegatus (sheepshead minnow) is the source of this 906-nucleotide long non-coding RNA. RefSeq lists it as uncharacterized. The record is from RefSeq and is a predicted model, not a curated record. NCBI's taxonomy places the organism in Eukaryota, Metazoa, Chordata, Actinopteri, Cyprinodontiformes, Cyprinodontidae. The transcript is spliced from 4 exons.